RNAcentral lists this ribosomal RNA (231 nucleotides) under uncultured bacterium. RNAcentral's name for it is "partial 16S ribosomal RNA". It matches the Rfam family "Bacterial small subunit ribosomal RNA", at positions 99 to 334 of the family's 1533-position model. The record is from RNAcentral.
CGGACGGGUGAGUAAUGCUUAGGAAUCUGCCCAAUAUGGGGGACAACUCGAGGAAACUCGAGCUAAUACCGCAUACGCCCUACGGGGGAAAGCAGGGGAUCUUCGGACCUUGCGCUAUUGGAUGAGCCUAAGUCGGAUUAGCUUGUUGGUGAGGUAAAGGCUCACCAAGGCGACGAUCCGUAGCUGGUCUGAGAGGACGAUCAGCCACACUGGGACUGAGACACGGCCCAG